UGUGAGCUCGAUGAGUAGGGCGGGACACGUGGUAUCCUGUCUGAAUAUGGGGGGACCAUCCUCCAAGGCUAAAUACUCCUGACUGACCGAUAGUGAACCAGUACCGUGAGGGAAAGGCGAAAAGAACCCCGGCGAGGGGAGUGAAAAAGAACCUGAAACCGUGUACGUACAAGCAGUGGGAGCACGCUUAGGCGUGUGACUGCGUACCUUUUGUAUAAUGGGUCAGCGACUUAUAUUCUGUAGCAAGGUUAACCGAAUAGGGGAGCCGAAGGGAAACCGAGUCUUAACUGGGCGUUAAGUUGCAGGGUAUAGACCCGAAACCCGGUGAUCUAGCCAUGGGCAGGUUGAAGGUUGGGUAACACUAACUGGAGGACCGAACCGACUAAUGUUGAAAAAUUAGCGGAUGACUUGUGGCUGGGGGUGAAAGGCCAAUCAAACCGGGAGAUAGCUGGUUCUCCCCGAAAGCUAUUUAGGUAGCGCCUCGUGAAUUCAUCUCCGGGGGUAGAGCACUGUUUCGGCAAGGGGGUCAUCCCGACUUACCAACCCGAUGCAAACUGCGAAUACCGGAGAAUGUUAUCACGGGAGACACACGGCGGGUGCUAACGUCCGUCGUGAAGAGGGAAACAACCCAGACCGCCAGCUAAGGUCCCAAAGUCAUGGUUAAGUGGGAAACGAUGUGGGAAGGCCCAGACAGCCAGGAUGUUGGCUUAGAAGCAGCCAUCAUUUAAAGAAAGCGUAAUAGCUCACUGGUCGAGUCGGCCUGCGCGGAAGAUGUAACGGGGCUAAACCAUGCACCGAAGCUGCGGCAGCGACGCUUAUGCGUUGUUGGGUAGGGGAGCGUUCUGUAAGCCUGCGAAGGUGUGCUGUGAGGCAUGCUGGAGGUAUCAGAAGUGCGAAUGCUGACAUAAGUAACGAUAAAGCGGGUGAAAAGCCCGCUCGCCGGAAGACCAAGGGUUCCUGUCCAACGUUAAUCGGGGCAGGGUGAGUCGACCCCUAAGGCGAGGCCGAAAGGCGUAGUCGAUGGGAAACAGGUUAAUAUUCCUGUACUUGGUGUUACUGCGAAGGGGGGACGGAGAAGGCUAUGUUGGCCGGGCGACGGUUGUCCCGGUUUAAGCGUGUAGGCUGGUUUUCCAGGCAAAUCCGGAAAAUCAAGGCUGAGGCGUGAUGACGAGGCACUACGGUGCUGAAGCAACAAAUGCCCUGCUUCCAGGAAAAGCCUCUAAGCAUCAGGUAACAUCAAAUCGUACCCCAAACCGACACAGGUGGUCAGGUAGAGAAUACCAAGGCGCUUGAGAGAACUCGGGUGAAGGAACUAGGCAAAAUGGUGCCGUAACUUCGGGAGAAGGCACGCUGAUAUGUAGGUGAAGUCCCUCGCGGAUGGAGCUGAAAUCAGUCGAAGAUACCAGCUGGCUGCAACUGUUUAUUAAAAACACAGCACUGUGCAAACACGAAAGUGGACGUAUACGGUGUGACGCCUGCCCGGUGCCGGAAGGUUAAUUGAUGGGGUUAGCGCAAGCGAAGCUCUUGAUCGAAGCCCCGGUAAACGGCGGCCGUAACUAUAACGGUCCUAAGGUAGCGAAAUUCCUUGUCGGGUAAGUUCCGACCUGCACGAAUGGCGUAAUGAUGGCCAGGCUGUCUCCACCCGAGACUCAGUGAAAUUGAACUCGCUGUGAAGAUGCAGUGUACCCGCGGCAAGACGGAAAGACCCCGUGAACCUUUACUAUAGCUUGACACUGAACAUUGAGCCUUGAUGUGUAGGAUAGGUGGGAGGCUU
Molecule: ribosomal RNA, 1774 nt
Filed under: Escherichia coli
Lineage: Bacteria; Pseudomonadati; Pseudomonadota; Gammaproteobacteria; Enterobacterales; Enterobacteriaceae
Description: partial 23S ribosomal RNA
Rfam family: Bacterial large subunit ribosomal RNA
Source: RNAcentral